Rattus rattus (black rat) is the source of this 1196-nucleotide long non-coding RNA. RefSeq lists it as uncharacterized. The record is from RefSeq and is a predicted model, not a curated record. NCBI's taxonomy places the organism in Eukaryota, Metazoa, Chordata, Mammalia, Rodentia, Muridae. The transcript is spliced from 3 exons.
GUAGGAAUCCCCUCUCCCCCUCCCGCCCAAGCACUUUCUCUGAGACCUCAGAGUCCCGUUCUAUCUCCGCUCUAGUUUCCCAGCAGGCGCCUCCAUCAGGCGGCAUCCUUCCUCUCCACUCGGGUUUCACAGAGGCUGGAUGGAAAGGCGCCACGGAGUCUUGUAAACAGCAUCUAGGACAAUGUCCUCCAUCUCAGCCCCAGCCUCUGCCUCAAUUUCUCUGUCUGCUUCUCUCUUCUUCAUUCCUUUGAGACCGCCUGGUUCCUUAGAACCUUUUAUAGGUGGGGAAGGGCGGUGGCUCUGAGCUCCAGGAUCUCCAGAGUUUGGUUUCAAGGUGGCAGGAUUUCCUAUGUAGCUGUUGUUCCCCUAUGUCACUAUGUUGCCCAGGCUGGCCUUGAACUCAUGACUUUCCUGCCUUCAGCAUCUGGACUGUUGGGAUUACAAGAGAACAUACUUGGCCUGAAAGUGACAUCUAAAACACCCUUGUGUGUUCGUGAGUUUGUCUGAGCAUAUGUGGAGGUUAGAGGGUGUCCGUGCAUUUUGGUCUUUACCGUCUACAAUGCCUCAGUCAUGAUCGUUCUUGUUGACCAUGGACCGCUGGGUUCCAUGAGUUCUUCUGUUUUUCCAGGCAUCCCCUGUGGCUACAGUUCCACAGGAUCUGUUGCCCAAUUCUGGCCCCCAUGGGUCCCGCACACCAGCGAGGCACAGACAUAUAGGCAGGUGAAACACUCAGAUAAUAAAUUAAAAAUGACAACUCAAAAAAAGAAAGAAAGAAAACUGAAGAAGGGAACUCAAGUGAGCUGCAGCCGAGAGAGAAGAAACUGAGAUGGAGACAAGUUCAAGUCUGGCCUGCAGCCAUGGAAACUUGGGGUCAACUAUGAGCAGUUCCUGGAGCUAAAUGAGCACUUCCUGAAAGAACGCCGCUCUAAGGAGGAGACUCUGGAGGCCUUGGCUGACAAACUCAAACUGACAAAAGGACGAGUUAUACUUUGGUUCUCCCAGAAAAAGAACUGACAUAAUGGUCAAGCAGAUGUCCAAGCCUCAAGUCCACAAGCCUUGGGGAAGAUACAGGUACCACUGGACACCAAGAGAGACCACCAGGCAGAACCCCAAGAAAGAAAGAAAAAGAGAAACAGUUAUGUCCAGGCUCAGUUUGAUGAGGCAAUGAGUUUAUUAGGACUUAAUAAAUAAUUCUU